UUGUGGUGUCAUGGUCAUUGUUGACCGUUCAUAUAACCCCUGCAAUUGCUUUGCAUCUUAUGCGGGUGUUAUAUAACGGUCAACAAAAACAUUUAACAUCGAAGA
This 105-nucleotide microRNA precursor is filed under the name Medicago truncatula (barrel medic). Its description in RNAcentral is "miRNA gene31187". The stretch from base 6 to 99 matches the Rfam family "MIR2587 microRNA precursor family". The record is from RNAcentral. Lineage: Eukaryota; Viridiplantae; Streptophyta; Magnoliopsida; Fabales; Fabaceae.